This 466-nucleotide ribosomal RNA is filed under the name uncultured bacterium. RNAcentral's name for it is "bacterial SSU rRNA". It matches the Rfam family "Bacterial small subunit ribosomal RNA", at positions 26 to 507 of the family's 1533-position model. The record is from RNAcentral.
AGGACGAACGCUGGCGGCGUGCCUAACACAUGCAAGUCGAGCGAGUGGAUCUCCUUCGGGAGUGAAGCUAGCGGCGGACGGGUGAGUAACACGUGGGCAACCUGCCUCAUAGAGGGGAAUAGCCUUUCGAAAGGAAGAUUAAUACCGCAUAAGAUUGUAGCUUCGCAUGAAGUAGCAAUUAAAGGAGCAAUCCGCUAUGAGAUGGGCCCGCGGCGCAUUAGCUAGUUGGUGAGGUAAACGGCUCACCAAGGCGACGAUGCGUAGCCGACCUGAGAGGGUGAUCGGCCACAUUGGGACUGAGACACGGCCCAGACUCCUACGGGAGGCAGCAGUGGGGAAUAUUGCACAAUGGGGAAACCCUGAUGCAGCAACGCCGCGUGAGUGAUGACGGCCUUCGGGUUGUAAAGCUCUGUCUUCAGGGACGAUAAUGACGGUACCUGAGGAGGAAGCCACGGCUAACUACGUG